GCCGCGGUAGCUCAGUGGUAGAGCAGUGGACUGAAAAUCCUCGUGUCGGUGGUUCAAUUCCGCCCCGCGGCACCA
RNAcentral lists this transfer RNA (75 nucleotides) under Candidatus Peregrinibacteria bacterium CG2_30_44_17. Its description in RNAcentral is "tRNA-Phe". It matches the Rfam family "tRNA". Rfam says of the family: Transfer RNA (tRNA) molecules are approximately 80 nucleotides in length. Their secondary structure includes four short double-helical elements and three loops (D, anti-codon, and T loops). Lineage: Bacteria; Candidatus Peregrinibacteriota. RNAcentral also lists the same sequence under 5 other names. The record is from RNAcentral.